GAUGAAGAACCAGCGAAAUGCGAUACGUAAUGUGAAUUGCAGAAUUCAGUGAAUCAUCGAGUCUUUGAACGCACAUUGCGCCCCCUGGUAUUCCGGGGGGCAUGCCUGUCCGAGCGUCAUUGCUGCCCUCAAGCACGGCUUGUGUGUUGGGCCUCCGUCCUCCUCCCGGGGGACGGGCCCGAAAGGCAGCGGCGGCACCGCGUCCGGUCCUCGAGCGUAUGGGGCUUCGUCACCCGCUCUUGUAGGCCCGGCCGGCGCUUGCCGACACAUCAAUCUUUUUUCCAGGUUGACCUCGGAUCAGGUAGGGAUACCCGCUGAACUUAAGCAUAUCAAUAAGCGGAGGA
Molecule: unclassified non-coding RNA, 344 nt
Filed under: soil metagenome
Description: partial contains 5.8S ribosomal RNA, internal transcribed spacer 2, and large subunit ribosomal RNA
Rfam family: 5.8S ribosomal RNA (bases 1-119)
Source: RNAcentral